Non-coding RNA from Vicugna pacos (alpaca), 439 nucleotides. Lineage: Eukaryota; Metazoa; Chordata; Mammalia; Artiodactyla; Camelidae. The record is from RefSeq and is a predicted model, not a curated record.
GAAUUUAAUCAAUAUUAGCUAAGGCGCGUCUGCGUCAUGGAGCUAUAGCUUGAGGUCACUUCUGCAGAUGGGCUCCGUGGCCUAGCGUCCCCGUCCGCGCCACCUGUGAUCGUGCGCCGAGGACCACGAGGGGUCGCCGCCGAGGUUUCCACCAGCCCAAGCAAGAUCAUGGCAGCCAUCCCCUCCAGCGGCUCGCUCGUGGCCACCCACGACUACUACCGGCGCUGCCUGGGCUCCACUUCCAGUAACAGCUCCUGCCGAAGAGCGGAGUACCCUGGGGAAGCCAUCCCCCACCGCCUGGGUGUCCCCAAAGCCGACCUAGGACUCUGGUGGGCUAGCUUCUUUUUCGGGAAGUCCACUCUCCCAUUCAUGGCCACAGUGUUGGAGUCCCCAGAGCACUUGGAAUCGCCCCAGACCUCCACCAGCACGAUCACCUGUG